GGGGUGGGGGUAGGGGAUAGUAUCAGAAACUUGAGGCAGCUGGUCAUGUGGAAUCCACAAUCAAGUAGUAGAAAGAGAUGGGUGCUUGAAUCAGCUGGUUUUCUCCUUUAUAUUUAAUCCCUGAGUCCAACUCAUGGAAUGGUGCCACUCACAUUAAGGGUAGGUCUUCCUGUCUCGGUUAACCUAAUCCAGAAAGUUCCUCACAGAACAAUUCCAUGUCAUUAGGGUGAUUCUAGACACUGUCAAUGACAAUCAGUGUAAGCCAACACACAUCACAAGCCAGGUGAGACAGCUUCUGAAGUCUGAGGCAGAAAUACCACCCCUUGCCCCAUAAUGAAUUUCUAUUAGUUAAGGCUUGAUUAGCGCUCAGUUCUUGGCACAAAACCCUGGUCCCCUUACAAUCCCUGGCAGAGAGGUGCAGUCCAAACACUGAAUGCUGUUCUGACAAACUGAAGAUACCUGGGUAUCAUUGUAAUAGGGGAGCAAUGGGAAAUCUGGCACAGAAAACUGUGACCACAGAAACAGAAAGCAGAAUGAUAUGUCCACAAGCCAUGGAAUACUGGCAGUAACCAGACCUUGGUAGAAGCAAGGGGUACAUCUGGAGCUGACACACCUUGUUUCUGUUCGGUGAAACUGACUGUGGACUUUUGACUUCCACAAACAGCAAUCUGCAUAGGACUGGGUUGUGAUGGUCCUUGAAGGCACUGACUGCCCACCAUUCUGAGGCAAUGCAAAAGUCUCAUAUUCUUCGUACUAUACCUAUUUAUCAUAUCGUACAAUGGUGAUUGAUAUCAAGAAUUAUAUCCCUGAGGCAUGUGAGGUCUAAAUCAUAAAAUAUAGAUUAAUAAAAUUCAUUGUCUUGCUACCUGA
Non-coding RNA from Rattus norvegicus (Norway rat), 870 nucleotides. The record is from RefSeq and is a predicted model, not a curated record. Lineage: Eukaryota; Metazoa; Chordata; Mammalia; Rodentia; Muridae.